This 76-nucleotide transfer RNA is filed under the name Enterococcus gilvus. Its description in RNAcentral is "tRNA-Thr". It matches the Rfam family "tRNA". Rfam says of the family: Transfer RNA (tRNA) molecules are approximately 80 nucleotides in length. Their secondary structure includes four short double-helical elements and three loops (D, anti-codon, and T loops). Further hydrogen bonds mediate the characteristic L-shaped molecular structure. tRNAs have two regions of fundamental functional importance: the anti-codon, which is responsible for specific mRNA codon recognition, and the 3' end, to which the tRNAs corresponding amino acid is attached (by aminoacyl-tRNA synthetases). tRNAs cope with the degeneracy of the genetic code in two manners: having more than one tRNA (with a specific anti-codon) for a particular amino acid; and 'wobble' base-pairing, i.e. permitting non-standard base-pairing at the 3rd anti-codon position. Lineage: Bacteria; Bacillati; Bacillota; Bacilli; Lactobacillales; Enterococcaceae. The record is from RNAcentral. RNAcentral also lists the same sequence under 4 other names.
GCCAGCUUAGCUCAGUUGGUAGAGCAACGCACUCGUAACGCGUAGGUCGUAGGUUCGAAUCCUAUAGCUGGCACUA